This 305-nucleotide ribosomal RNA is filed under the name uncultured bacterium. RNAcentral's name for it is "bacterial SSU rRNA". It matches the Rfam family "Bacterial small subunit ribosomal RNA", at positions 334 to 636 of the family's 1533-position model. The record is from RNAcentral.
GUGGCCUACGGGAGGCAGCAGUGAGGAAUAUUGGUCAAUGGGAGAGAUCCUGAACCAGCCAAGCCGCGUGAGGGAAGACGGCCCUAUGGGUUGUAAACCUCUUUUGUCGGAGAACAAAACCCGGGACGUGUCCCGGACUGCGUGUAUCCGAAGAAAAAGCAUCGGCUAACUCCGUGCCAGCAGCUGCGGUAAUACGGAGGAUGCGAGCGUUAUCCGGAUUUAUUGGGUCUAAAGGGAGCGUAGGUGGCAGGGCAAGUCAGAUGUGAAAACCCGGGGCUCAACUCCGGGAGUGCAUUUGAAACUGU